RNAcentral lists this small RNA (27 nucleotides) under Bombyx mori (domestic silkworm). RNAcentral's name for it is "ovarian small RNA-27738". The record is from RNAcentral. Lineage: Eukaryota; Metazoa; Arthropoda; Insecta; Lepidoptera; Bombycidae.
UCCUAUCGCCAGAUAUCGCGACGUAUC